Molecule: ribosomal RNA, 270 nt
Filed under: uncultured archaeon
Lineage: Archaea
Description: partial 16S ribosomal RNA
Rfam family: Archaeal small subunit ribosomal RNA
Source: RNAcentral
CAGCACCUCAAGUGGUCAGGAUGAUUAUUGGGCCUAAAGCAUCCGUAGCCGGCGCUGUAAGUUGUCGGUUAAAUCUGUACGCUCAACGUACAGGCUGCCGGGAAUACUGCAGCGCUAGGGAGUGGGAGAGGUAGACGGUACUCGGUAGGAAGGGGUAAAAUCCUUUGAUCUAUUGAUGACCACCUGUGGCGAAGGCGGUCUACCAGAACACGUCCGACGGUGAGGGAUGAAAGCUGGGGGAGCAAACCGAAUUAGAUACCCGAGUAGUCC